Molecule: non-coding RNA, 169 nt
Organism: Blautia sp. CAG:237
Lineage: Bacteria; Bacillati; Bacillota; Clostridia; Lachnospirales; Lachnospiraceae
Source: Rfam
UGAUACCAGGGUUUCAAACGAAUAUGACUUUCAUGCUUGCAUGAAAGGGCAUAUCCAUUUGAAACCCGCCAAAUAUGAGGAAGUAGUGAUUUACGCAGUAAAUCUACGGAUUCCGAAUAUUUGCAGAAUCGCGGAAGAUGCAGAGCAUCGGAGUGAUUCGUAAGUAUCU